This 464-nucleotide long non-coding RNA is filed under the name Nicotiana benthamiana. RNAcentral's name for it is "long non-coding RNA (NBEN_LNC032347)". Lineage: Eukaryota; Viridiplantae; Streptophyta; Magnoliopsida; Solanales; Solanaceae. The record is from RNAcentral.
GUGAGAGUUCCUUUCCCUGAUAUUUUCCCUCCUUUCAUGUUUCCAAAGUAGACAUUCCCGUUAGCCCAUGUAUACUUACCUGGUCCUUCUGGUGUUCCCUGAAUCCACGAUCCUUCAAAAAUAUCUCCAUUUGGAUACAUUUGAUAUCCCAAACCAUGUUUAAGGUUCAACCGCCAGCGUCCCCUAUAGGUCACUUUAUCAGGUCCAAUAUAUGUCCCGUCGCCGUGCAUAUAACCACCUGAAAAUUCACCAUCAUAAACAGCACCUGGAUACAUUUGAUAUCCUAAACCAUGUUUAAGGUUCAACCGCCAGCGUCCCCUAUAGGUCACUUUAUCAGGUCCAAUAUAUGUCCCCUCACCGUGCAUAUAACCACCUGAAAAUUCACCAUCAUAAACAGCACCGGAAGGAAAUUCUAGUUUCCCAUGCCCAUGCCUCAUCCCGUCUCUCCACUCGCCCUCAUACUG